This 780-nucleotide ribosomal RNA is filed under the name uncultured bacterium. Its description in RNAcentral is "bacterial SSU rRNA". It matches the Rfam family "Bacterial small subunit ribosomal RNA", at positions 28 to 808 of the family's 1533-position model. The record is from RNAcentral.
GAUGAACUCUGGCGGCGUGCUUAACACAUGCAAGUCGAACGAAGCAAUUUAGCGGAUGUUUUCGGAUGGAAACUAGAUUGACUGAGUGGCGGACGGGUGAGUAACGCGUGGGUAACCUGCCUCACACUGGGGGACAACAGUUAGAAAUGACUGCUAAUACCGCAUAAGCGCACAGGACCGCAUGGUCCGGUGUGAAAAACUCCGGUGGUGUGAGAUGGACCCGCGUUUGAUUAGCUAGUUGGUGGGGUAACGGCCUACCAAGGCGACGAUCAAUAGCCGACCUGAGAGGGUGACCGGCCACAUUGGGACUGAGACACGGCCCAAACUCCUACGGGAGGCAGCAGUGGGGAAUAUUGCACAAUGGGGGAAACCCUGAUGCAGCGACGCCGCGUGAGUGAAGAAGUGUUUCGGUAUGUAAAGCUCUAUCAGCAGGGAAGAAAAUGACGGUACCUGACUAAGAAGCCCCGGCUAACUACGUGCCAGCAGCCGCGGUAAUACGUAGGGGGCAAGCGUUAUCCGGAUUUACUGGGUGUAAAGGGAGCGUAGACGGUAAAGCAAGUCUGAAGCGAAAGCCCGGGGCUCAACCCCGGGACUGCUUUGGAAACUGUUUAACUAGAGUGCUGGAGAGGUAAGCGGAAUUCCUAGUGUAGCGGUGAAAUGCGUAGAUAUUAGGAGGAACACCAGUGGCGAAGGCGGCUUACUGGACAGUAACUGACGUUGAGGCUCGAAAGCGUGGGGAGCAAACAAGAUUAGAUACCCUGGUAGUCCACGCCGUAAACG